UACGGGGGGAGCAAGCGUUGUUCGGAUUUACUGGGCGUAAAGGGCGCGUAGGCGGUCAGCACAAGUCAGUUGUGAAAUCUCCGGGCUUAACUCGGAAAGGUCAACUGAUACUGUGCGACUAGAGUGCAGAAGGGGCAACUGGAAUUCUCGGUGUAGCGGUGAAAUGCGUAGAUAUCGGGAGGAACACCUGUGGCGAAGGCGGCCCCCUGGUUGGAUACUGACGCUGAGACGCGAAAGCGUGGGGAGCAAACAGG
Molecule: ribosomal RNA, 254 nt
Filed under: uncultured prokaryote
Description: partial 16S ribosomal RNA
Rfam family: Bacterial small subunit ribosomal RNA
Source: RNAcentral